CCUACGGGAGGCAGCAGUUGGGAAUCUUGGACAAUGGGCGAAAGCCUGAUCCAGCAACGCCGCGUGAGGGAUGACGGCCUUCGGGUUGUAAACCUCUUUCAGUAGGGACGAAGCGCAAGUGACGGUACCUACAGAAGAGGCACCGGCCAACUACGUGCCAGCAGCCGCGGUAAU
This 174-nucleotide ribosomal RNA is filed under the name uncultured Nocardioides sp. Its description in RNAcentral is "partial 16S ribosomal RNA". It matches the Rfam family "Bacterial small subunit ribosomal RNA", at positions 338 to 524 of the family's 1533-position model. Lineage: Bacteria; Bacillati; Actinomycetota; Actinomycetes; Propionibacteriales; Nocardioidaceae. The record is from RNAcentral.